Molecule: ribosomal RNA, 700 nt
Filed under: uncultured bacterium
Lineage: Bacteria
Description: bacterial SSU rRNA
Rfam family: Bacterial small subunit ribosomal RNA
Source: RNAcentral
GAACGCAUUCUUCGGAAUGAGUGGCGCACGGCUGAGGAACACGUGACUAACCUACCCUGGUGUGGGGGAUAACGGGUCGAAAGACUCGCUAAUCCCGCAUACGAUUCACUUCGGUGAAGGAAAGCCGCAAGGCGCACUAGGCGGGGGUCGCGUCCCAUUAGAUUGUUGGUGUGGUAAUGGCGCACCAAGUCGAUGAUGGGUCUCUGGUCUGAGAGGACGACCAGACAGAUUGGGACUGAGACACGGCCCAAACUCCUACGGGGGGCAGCAGCAAGGAAUUUUCGGCAAUGGGCGCAAGCCUGACCGAGCAACGCCGCGUGGAGGAUGACGGCUCUUGGGUUGUAAACUCCUUUUGGGGGGGACGAUAAUGACGGUACCCUCCGAAUCAGGCCCGGCUAACUACGUGCCAGCAGCCGCGGUAAUACGUAGGGGCCAAGCGUUGUCCGGAAUUACUGGGCGUAAAGCGUGGGUAGGUGGUCGGUGAUGCGCCGCGUGAAAGCGCCGGAGUAAUGCCGGCGAGGUCGCGGUAGACACAACGACUCGAGGCUCGCAGAGGAACGUGGAAUUCCCGGUGUAGUGGUGAAAUGCGUAGAUAUCGGGAGGAACACCAGUGGCGCAAGCGGCGUUCUGGGCGAGACCUGACACUGAGCCACGACGGCGUGGGGAGCAAACAGGAUUAGAUACCCUGGUAGUCCACGCA